GGUCUUUUCUAUGGAAGCUUGCUUCCGCUGAGAAGAUAGUGGCGAACGGGUGAGUAACACGUGGGUAACCUGCCCAUAAGAGGGGGAUAACAUCCGGAAACGGGUGCUAAUACCGCAUAGUUUUCUUGAUCGCAUGAUUGAGAAAGGAAAGACGGCCUUUGUGCUGUCGCUUAUGGAUGGACCCGCGGCGUAUUAGUUAGUUGGUGAGGUAACGGCUCACCAAGACGAUGAUACGUAGCCGACCUGAGAGGGUGAUCGGCCACAUUGGGACUGAGACACGGCCCAAACUCCUACGGGAGGCAGCAGUAGGGAAUCUUCCGCAAUGGACGAAAGUCUGACGGAGCAACGCCGCGUGAGUGAAGAAGGUUUUCGGAUCGUAAAACUCUGUUGUCAGAGAAGAACAAGUCGGAGAGUAACUGCUCCGGCCUUGACGGUAUCUGACCAGAAAGCCACGGCUAACUACGUGCCAGCAGCCGCGGUAAUACGUAGGUGGCAAGCGUUGUCCGGAUUUAUUGGGCGUAAAGCGAGCGCAGGCGGUUCCUUAAGUCUGAUGUGAAAGCCCACGGCUCAACCGUGGAAGGUCAUUGGAAACUGGGGAACUUGAGUGCAGAAGAGGAGAGUGGAAUUCCAUGUGUAGCGGUGAAAUGCGUAGAUAUAU
RNAcentral lists this ribosomal RNA (658 nucleotides) under uncultured bacterium. RNAcentral's name for it is "bacterial SSU rRNA". It matches the Rfam family "Bacterial small subunit ribosomal RNA", at positions 64 to 699 of the family's 1533-position model. The record is from RNAcentral.